Long non-coding RNA from Carassius gibelio (silver crucian carp), 1342 nucleotides. RefSeq lists it as uncharacterized. NCBI's taxonomy places the organism in Eukaryota, Metazoa, Chordata, Actinopteri, Cypriniformes, Cyprinidae. The record is from RefSeq and is a predicted model, not a curated record. The transcript is spliced from 3 exons.
UCCAUUAAAAAUUUCUGAGGAGGCAGAGAGAGCUGCAGUGGAAUUAAUCCAUCCACCAUCCUAUUCUGCCACUGGUGAGGAGGAGGAUCUGUUUUCCAGGAGUGGAUAUCUCAGCCUCCUAGGAAAAGUUGAAAAAAUCCAGAAAGUAAGGAUGACAAUGUCAGACAUCCCAGUCUUGGACCUCAAAAUGAAGUGCGGCGAAAGGCUCCUUGAUGUGUCCCUGUGGAGGGAUGAAGCACUCAGUGAACUCCAUGAGGGAGACAAUGUGCACAUCAGCCAUAUGCGUGCCACCAUUUUGGCAAGUGGCAAUGCAAAACUUCAGUCAUCGAACUAUACUACCAUUAAGAUCGAGGAGGUUGAACCUGUCGAACAGGAAGUUGAAGUUGUGGGAGUGACUGAAAUUGAUGACAACUGCCACCUACUUACUGCGGAUGAUGAAAUCUUUGUUGUGCCUUCUGAACAUUAUUGUGGCAGCAUUGAUGACCUAAUCAUGGAGUUGCCCAUGAAAAUUAUUGUAAAUCAUGUUAAUAAACGAGUAGUUAGCGUACAAACAGUAAACUAAUCAGUAAUCAGUUCAGCGAAUCAGUUUUAUUGUAGUCAUAGCUUUAUAGACUAAUCAGUAAUCAGUUCAGCGAAUCAGUUUUUUUGUAGUCACAGCUUUAUAGACUAAUCAGUAAUCAGUUCAGCGAAUCAGUUUUAUUGUAGUCAUAGCUUUAUAGACUAAUCAGUAAUCAGUUCAGCGAAUCAGUUUUAUUGUAUUUUAUUUUUUUUGUAGUUAUAUAUAUAUAUAUAUAUAUAUACACUUUUGCAUAAUAGUAAAAAAAUAUUUUACACUAUUAGUUAUUUGUGCUUAUGCUAAUGCAAAUUAAUGUUAAAUAAAUUUGUUCUUGUUCAAAUUUAUUGAAAUUGUUUAAACACUUUAUUGCACAAUCACUUAGGCUGUGUCUGUAUUUAUACCUCACUAUCACACAGAUGAAUUCAAAAACACAAAUCUUAAUUAGUAAUGCUUUUUAGAAAUCUUAUGAUCACCAAGGCUGCAAUAAUUUUAAAAUUGAAAACCUUAUGCACAAAUGCUAUUUUGGGGAUUUCCGCUUGGCAUUUUUCCUACCUAAAUUCAAAAGCUUCCCAUACCCACACCCACAUGCAGUGGUGUACAUACAAAAGUUUGGUAUCAUUUUACAGGAAAUCUUUUGAAAUUACAUUAAACAGUUGAAAUUGAUGAAAAUGAUCUUAUAUGUUGUAGCUCAAUUGGUAGAGCACUGCGCUAUCCAAAUUUGAAGUGUCCCCAUACCCACAUACAUUGGAAUAAAUGCAAUCUUUAUAUCAUUUGACAGAAAACACU